AUGGGUUCCAUCAGGCUGCUGGCUAUUUGACAGUUCAGAAGUAAUAUUUAGGCAGCAUAAAAGUAAACCACACAACUCCAGUCGAUCAAUUAAUGUCUUCUGAAGCAAACCGAUAGGUUGGUGUAAGAAACAAAUCGAUAAUUAAAAUGUUUUUAACCUUAAAUCAUUUUAAAUGACCUGACUCUCGCAUGACAUUCGUUCCUCUAUUGUAUACAAAGCACGCGCUUCCGACUUCUCGCGUGAAGGCACCAUUGCGCUUACAUCACUGAUGCAUCAACUGCUGGCAGGAAGCGAUUUUAAAAAGUAUUUUUUACACAAAAUGAUCACUUUGCUUCAGAAGACUUCAUUUUGGUUCUACUGAAGAAGGAAAGUCAUACAAUCUGGGAUUGCUUAAAGGAAGUGCAGAGAUAUUACAAUCAAAUGACUAAACAGAGAGAAUUGCUUGUGUUUGCACAGAACUAUUUACAGAGAGAUAAUAAGGAUACAGUGAGUGCAGAGGAAGAAGCAUCAGGUCCCUCAUCUCCUCCUGAUGAAGAGUUUGAUGGAGUCGGUGACUAUAAGGAGUCUUUCCUGGCUGAGUGGUGGAAAGAACCCAAAACUAAAGGAGAUACAGGAGAACCAGCUGAAUAAAACACAACAGUGCCAGUUUAUAAAUGUAUCUGUACUGUUACCUUCAAAAAGACUUGUGCUCCAUUCAAACCCACUGAUGACUGUUCCCCCAUUUUCCAUUGGGAGCUGAAUUAACUUCUCAUUUUUAACCAAAACUUUGUAUGUAUGUAUGUAUUGUUCUGAUGCAAUAAGGGUCUUUCUUUUUAAAAAACAAAACAAAAAAAACAUACACUGAUCAGUAUGUUACUAAUUUAGAGGCAAAAUACAUAUAUUUGUAGUUUUCUAUUUUAGAGGAUAUUUUUUUGGUACCACCAUCUCAUAUCAAAGUGUUUUUUGUUGAACUUAGAGUGCCACAUCGCCAGUCUAAACUCUGCUUUAUCUUACAAAUUACCACCAGGCCUGUACUGGGAAAGGCAUUUGUACAAUCAUAAAGGGUGAUGUUUUUUUAUAUUUAGUUAUUUGAAUACUUUUUCUUUUAUUCAAUGAUGUGUUAUGAUUCCACAGAAGAGUGUUAAUAUUUUGUCAAUAUAUUAACUGCCUUUAUCUGCAAAUGCAGUGUAUAUAAUUCUGAGUCAAAUCUAGACAUUGAUCUCAGGUCAGUUCUGUGCUAUAUGACAUCCAUUGUGAGGGAUCAUAAAUGCCCUGCUGAAGAAACACAGAUAAGAAACCUGUGAUGAAAUGUUUGUGUGUGUCAUGAAAUAUAAUUAUGAAGACGACAGGUGGUCACAGUAUUUCAACAAUCACCUACAUUUGGAACACACUGUAAAAUCCACAAAGGCCAAAAACAAAAAAACUGCCUACAUUUUUUUAAUCAAUGUAGCUGGUUGUAGUUCAGUUUUUGCAACACUUACUGUAGAAUGAGCCAUGUGCCAGGUUGCUUGGGUUUCAAUACACACAUUUUGCCGUCUUUAUGAUGUUACUGGACAUUUUUGUCUGUCAAAAGGUAUUUGAAGGAAUGCUUUACCCCACUCUGACCUGUUAAUACAUCAUGGGUCAGUUUAAUAUAUUAUAAUUAUUCACUUCAUGAUGGCUAAUCUAUUUUUCUCAGAAAACUGUAUAUUUCUUAAACGCAAACUUCUCUCAGGGUAGAUGGUUUAAUGUCAGUAUAUUUAACUUAAUAUGUAACUUGUGGCUCAUGUGUUCCGCCAAAGUACAGAUGUCUAUAGUGACCAUUUCUAUUAGACACAGCCAUUUGGUGCAGAUAUCAGGAAAGGAAUUUUU
Molecule: long non-coding RNA, 1830 nt
Organism: Myxocyprinus asiaticus (Chinese sucker)
Lineage: Eukaryota; Metazoa; Chordata; Actinopteri; Cypriniformes; Catostomidae
Exons: 3
Source: RefSeq, a predicted model, not a curated record